This 408-nucleotide ribosomal RNA is filed under the name uncultured bacterium. RNAcentral's name for it is "partial 16S ribosomal RNA". It matches the Rfam family "Bacterial small subunit ribosomal RNA", at positions 28 to 526 of the family's 1533-position model. The record is from RNAcentral.
GACGAAUGCUGGCGGCGUGCUUAACACAUGCAAGUCGAACGGAGUGGCGAACGGGUGAGUAACACGUGGGUGACCUGCCCUGCACUUCGGGAUAAGCCUGGGAAACUGGGUCUAAUACCGGAUAGUGUGGGAUGGGCCCGCGGCCUAUCAGCUUGUUGGUGGGGUAAUGGCCUACCAAGGCGGCGACGGAUAGCCGGCCUGAGAGGGUGGACGGCCAAAAUGGUACUGUGACACGGCCCAGAAUGGUACGGGAGGCAGCAGUGGGGAAGAUGGCACAUUGGGCGGAAGCCUGAUGCAGCGACGCCGCGUGGGGGAUGACGGCCUGCCGGUUGUGAACGCCUUACGCAAUCGACGCGGUGGAUGGAGAAGAAGCACCGGCUGACUACGUGCCAGCAGCCGCGGUAAUAC